UGCAUUCACUACUGUAAGUUGCUCUGGAUAAGAGCGUCUGCUAAAUUAAUAAAA
Non-coding RNA from Salmo salar (Atlantic salmon), 54 nucleotides. NCBI's taxonomy places the organism in Eukaryota, Metazoa, Chordata, Actinopteri, Salmoniformes, Salmonidae. The record is from Rfam.